Drosophila sulfurigaster albostrigata is the source of this 482-nucleotide long non-coding RNA. RefSeq lists it as uncharacterized. The transcript has 2 exons. The record is from RefSeq and is a predicted model, not a curated record. Lineage: Eukaryota; Metazoa; Arthropoda; Insecta; Diptera; Drosophilidae.
ACUUCUGAAAUAUUGAUUAACUAAGCAAAGUCAAGUUACAAGAAAAUUGUACUUUCUAAUUACACAGGAAUAGUUGUUAUAAACACAAUACUGUACACAAACGGUGUAACCCACAACUGUAUACAAAGAAGAUAGUGCGUGGCUAGUCCAAUGAAAACAAUGCUUACUGGCGCACUAGAGAAGGUAUUAAGUUGUUAUCGAUGCAUAUAUCAUUUCGCAAAAAUCGAUUAUAACAUUAUCGAUGUAUGCAUAAUAUGCCGCUUUCUUUUAAACUGCGACAAGCACUUUCUUCUAAUCAAUUUUAAUUUGACACAAAUUUGAAAAACAACAAAACUAACCUAGUUAAAACUUCUCUUUUUGAAAACUCUCUUUUUCUGGAGUUGUAACGCCCUGCGCAGUUGAUCUUCUGCUGAGUCGGCUCCACCGGUUGCUUUAAUGGCUUCUGGAAAUGUAUUUAAAUAAAAUGUAAUCUCAAAAUGCAA